UGCCAGCCGCCGCGGUAAUACGGAGGGUGCGAGCGUUAAUCGGAAUUACUGGGCGUAAAGGGUGCGUAGGCGGCCCAUCAAGUUAGACGUGAAAGCCCCGGGCUCAACCUGGGAAUUGCGUUUAAUACUGGUGAGCUAGAGUACGAGAGAGGAAAGUGGAAUUCCUAGUGUAGAGGUGAAAUUCGUAGAUAUUAGGAAGAACACCCGUGGCGAAGGCGGCCACCUGGACGAUCACUGACGCUGAGGUACGAAAGCGUGGGUAGCAAACAGGAUUAGAUA
Molecule: ribosomal RNA, 279 nt
Filed under: uncultured bacterium
Lineage: Bacteria
Description: partial 16S ribosomal RNA
Rfam family: Bacterial small subunit ribosomal RNA
Source: RNAcentral